AACAUUGAAAAUGAUUUCUUCUGUUACUCUCAGGAACACCACGACCAAUAUAUGAUGUCUUUAUCCAUCUUCUCUUCUUCCCUAUGAUUAUGGCCUAAAAUGUGACUUUUGGAUAUUUCUCUAACAUGGGUUUGCUCCAUUUUCUUCAUCUCUAUGCUGCCUUUGUUGCAGUAAUGGUGGUGAUGCAUUUACUGAUCAACCCGGUUGAAUCAACGGUCCUUAUUCGCUUUCAUCAAACUCCUCCAGCUCUGUCAAGGCAUUCCUAUGCAGUUUUCCGCUACUCAUUUGAGACUCUUAGAGGUUUAAAUGCCUGCCAGGACAAUAGCUGCUCCAUACACUGUCAGCUUGAUGGCAAAACUUUGAGUUCAUGUCCAGCUAAUGUCAUUGUACUGAAUAACUUAACUGUUAACCGUGACCAUGAAUUUCUUCUCAAUGUCACAACCUCAGAUGGACAGAGAAACUCAACCACUUUUUCUUGGUUCAUUGAUACAGUACCACCUACUGCCACAAUUUUUAGCAAACAGAAUUACACUAAUGAUGAAAGAGUAGCCGUGGAAGUCACAUUCAGCGAACCUUGCAACGGACCGGGUGGCUUCAAGUGUGUAAACUCAUCAAAUUGUGAUCUCAUAAUCAAAGGCUCAGCCCAUGUAAUUGCUUCUUCCUUACGAAUUGUUAAACCCGGCAUGAAUUAUAACCUUGACAUAAUUAUCCCAAUGACAAACACAUUUGGACGCGUGGUAAUUACAAUGCGGGAUGGUAUUUGCACAGAUCAGGCUGGAAAUCAGUUCAUCAGAACAAAUGGUUCAACCAUAAUCAUUCACUUUGAUAAAAGGCCAGUGCAAGUGGAUUUGUGGACCUCUGUUCCAUCAUACGAGCUGGUGCUUGAUGCGGUCCCAAGAACUGUCCUUGCAACUAACAAAAUGGAAGACUUGAAAAUUUUCUUGGACUUCAGCAGUCCCAUAAUAAAUACUACAGCUGAGGUUCUAAUGGCAUUGCAUGUGAACUCGGGUAACAUGGUACCUAUUUAUGAAAAAAACAGAGGGAAUCGAAGAUUUGAUUUUGAACUGAAGAAUGUAUCAAGAACUGAAAUCAUUACCAUUGAACUACAAGCCUACUUAAUAAUUGGCAAGACAGGUGCUCCAGUCUCACCUGCUGCCUCAAUUACAUUUCUUUAUGAUUCUCUGGAGCCUGGUGUAUGGCUAAGUACCAGUUCCCCAAAUUUUACAAAGGAAUCCAACAUCAAUGUAAUAGUGGAGUUUACAAAGCCAGUUUUUGGCUUUGAGGCCUCCAUGGUAGAUGUGACCGGGGGUAAAGUAACAAGGUUUAAGAAACUCUCAGGAGCUCUUUACUCGGUGACUGUCCUGGCAGUAACCCAGAAAUUGGUGUCAGUUACCAUUCCUGCAGGGAGAGUAAACGAUAUUUCAGGAAAUCCAAAUUUGGCAUCAAACCAACUUCAAGUGAAGCACUAUUCAAUCCCUCUAAUAUCAGCUGCACUACAUUCUUUUAUGACUGCUGGAAUACUGGCAACAUCAUUAGCAGCAGCUGUUCUUUCAGUUUCAUAUGCAAAUCUUGGAGCAAUAGACACUCUUGCUUCUGGGAGUUCUAACAUUGUUGCUUCUGACCCUUCAAUAAAUCUGCAUGGUAUGGUUGGACACAUACAAGUGUUUGUCCUUUCAGACCGGCUCUCGGUUAACCAUCCAAUCGAAUAUUCUGAGACAACAAAAGGUCUUAGGUGGCUCAUACCUCAUCAAAAGCUUCCAUGGAAAGAGGAUAGUGCUUCAGUAUGGCCAAACCAUGUACUUUUGGAGGAAGAUAAGCUUCCGAGGAAAUUCAGUGCCUUCUCUGAAGGAUGGUCUUCGAAUGAAAAGACUAACUAUCAAAUUGACUUUUAUGCAACAAAUAAUUCUUAUAUGCCACCAGUUCCAUUGGAGAUUGACCCUAAGUCUGGUAAACUUAGGAGACAGCAUAACAUGAACAUGAGAAACACUCCUUAUGGUCAAAAUCUUGACACAGAAGAAUAUAUCAUUUAUUUCCUGAGGGGAGAGCCACUGUCUGCUAGCAAUGUUGUCAAGAGGAUGGAGAAUGACAAAGGGUGGGAAGACUUGGAGAUGAACUUGUUCUGGCUUGGGGUGGGAGGAGGUGGUUUGGUCAUACUACAUGUUCUGAUAGUACUUUUCCUAAGAUGGAGAACAGGAACAACAGCACAAGGGAUUCUGUUGGUGCCUCGAUUCGAGCUGUUUCUUCUGAUUCUCAUGCUUCCUUGCAUCUCUCAGUCCUCAGCAUUUGUAAUACGAGGAGGUACAACAGGGGGAAUAAUAACUGGAGCUUUGUUGCUGGCAAUCCCUGCAGCUUUCAUUCUAUCAGUUUGCCUUUUUCUCGUAAUUGCAAUCUUCUCUGGAGUUUUGGCCCAGUACAAGGAAGUCAAGAAUGUAGGUUUAAAAGCACCAUGGUAUAGAAAACUGUGGUUUUUCAUUACAAUGAGGCCUAUCAUGGGAAUGUGGUUUUGCAGGGAGGGGCUUCCUUCAUCCUUUUAUGCUCGCUUUGGGAUUCUCUUUGACACUAAAAAGGGUCCUCCAUUGUUUGUCUUUGUCGAUCGGAAUGACCCAAACACCUUACCAAAGUGGACUGAAAGUGGCCAUAAUGGCAUUGGGAGAAUGCGAGCCGUGAGCUCAGACGACAGCAAUGAAGAAAUCAGAGUUCCCUUAUCAAGAAGGCUCUUGGGUUGUGCUAGAUCAUUCUAUACUGUCAUUGAUCUUUUAAGAAGAAUCGGUUUAGGUAUCAUAUCUGGAACUUACUCAUCAGAGAAAGCAACCCAAAGCAUGUUAGCAUUGACGAUCACACUGGUGCAGUUCAUGUAUCUAUUUACUCUAAAACCAUACAUCGGCAGGGGAGUCCACAUGGUUGAAAGUGUUUCUCUCUUGUGUGAAGUAGGUAUUUUUGUCCUAUUUAUUACCACAACUGGAACAAAUCCAACAGAAGCACAACAUUUGGGAUUCAUAAUGCUGGCUUUCCUCUUCAUUUCCUUUGUUACUCAACUUAUAAAUGAGUGGUAUGCUCUAAUAAAUUCCCUAGUAAGACUAUCACAUCCUCAUACAAAUUCUCUUAAGCUUGGAUUGAAGUUUGCUGCAAGGGGUCUUAUCCUUCCUUUCCUACCAAGGAAGCACUGGUCAACAUUCAGACCUGCAUCCUCACAACCAAAAAUAGGCCUAGCACCAGUACUCCCUCUAAGUCCAGAAAGAGAAGUUAAAAGAAGAGACAUGAGAGCUCCUUGCAUCGACCCAAUUAGUUCCAUGAGUGCAACAGUAGUCCCUGUGCUCAGUCCUGGAUCACCAAGCCCCGAUGUUAUUCACACGUUAGGCUGCGUUACAGCAGAGACAAACCUCAGUGGACAGAGAGCAGCGGAAGGAAGAAGGCUGAGGGGACCUAGAUUAGAGCCAAAGAGUGAUCUGAAGAAGUUAAGAGAGAUGGCAAGAGCUAGUUUCUCAGGGGAUCCAAAGGGAGAAGAACCUAGCACCAGCUAUGGUUAUAGACUUUGAUCUUUAUCUGAUGAGCCCUCUUUCCUUUUACCUUCAUCCUAA
This is an RNA transcript of Ziziphus jujuba (common jujube), 3578 nucleotides long. RefSeq lists it as uncharacterized. The record is from RefSeq and is a predicted model, not a curated record. Lineage: Eukaryota; Viridiplantae; Streptophyta; Magnoliopsida; Rosales; Rhamnaceae. The transcript has 13 exons.